Molecule: non-coding RNA, 381 nt
Organism: Biomphalaria pfeifferi
Lineage: Eukaryota; Metazoa; Mollusca; Gastropoda; Planorbidae
Source: the annotation of a GenBank genome assembly
CUCCCUUGAAUAAUAGAAGUACUGUACAAAUCUUGGUUUUGAGUCCAAUGGUUAAAGAAGAGAACAUCGUUCCACGAGGCUACGAAGACCAGGUCACCUACAUAUUUCUGCCCAUAUCUAAUGCAGACAAUACAGCCGGGGCCGAUUAAAGAUAUCUAUACGCAAUCUACGCCCCAGAUGUGGACCUUUAAAUCAUGACUGACAAUUUUUUGUUGAGCUGAUGAGUACUUCAACACAAAGUAUCGUCGAAACAAUUUACGUAUCCUGCAGAACUUGAUGCAUUAAUUAGUGUUGCUGUUGUUGUUGGUAUUUGCUGGAUGGUACUUUUGAUACCGUUUCUUGUAGACAGCGAACAACAUAAUUGCAACAACAACAACAACA